GCCAUUAGCUCAAUUGGUAGAGCAACUGACUUGUAAUCAGUAGGUUGGGGGUUCAAGUCCUCUGGCCGGCACCA
Molecule: transfer RNA, 74 nt
Filed under: Staphylococcus aureus
Lineage: Bacteria; Bacillati; Bacillota; Bacilli; Caryophanales; Staphylococcaceae
Description: tRNA-Thr
Rfam family: tRNA (bases 6-63)
About the family: Transfer RNA (tRNA) molecules are approximately 80 nucleotides in length. Their secondary structure includes four short double-helical elements and three loops (D, anti-codon, and T loops).
Source: RNAcentral